AUUGAACGCUGGCGGCAGGCCUAACACAUGCAAGUCGAACGAGUGGCGGACGGGUGAGUAAUGUGUGGGAAACUGCCUGGGGGAGGGGGAUAACUACUGGAAACGGUAGCUAGUACCGCAUACCAUCAGCUGUGCCCAGGUGGGCUUAGGUGGUUGGUGGGGUAACGGCUGACCAAGGCGACGAUACCUAGCUGGGCUGAGAGGAUGACCAGCCACACUGGAACUGAGACACGGUCCAGACUCCUACGGGAGGCAGCAGUGGGGAAUAUUGCACAAUGGGCGCAAGCCUGAUGCAGCAAUGCCGCGUGUGUGAAGAAGGUCUUCGGGUUGUAAAUUACUUUCAUCGGUGAGGCGUUACCCACACAAGAAGCACCGGCUAACUCCGUGCCAGCAGCCGCGGUAAUUC
This 406-nucleotide ribosomal RNA is filed under the name uncultured bacterium. Its description in RNAcentral is "partial 16S ribosomal RNA". It matches the Rfam family "Bacterial small subunit ribosomal RNA", at positions 30 to 526 of the family's 1533-position model. The record is from RNAcentral.